Long non-coding RNA from Macadamia integrifolia, 579 nucleotides. RefSeq lists it as uncharacterized. The transcript has 3 exons. NCBI's taxonomy places the organism in Eukaryota, Viridiplantae, Streptophyta, Magnoliopsida, Proteales, Proteaceae. The record is from RefSeq and is a predicted model, not a curated record.
CGCGGUAGAGAGAGGAUAGCAGAGAGGAAAGAAAGAGAGUGCCCAGUUCGGUUCUUCACCUUAGGUCUGUGCUUCACCUCUCCUCCUUCUUCUCCUUCUUCUCCUUCUUCUUCUUCAUUUCUUCUUUUCUUCUUCUAUUCAAACUCUUUCUUCUUCAUUUAUUGUAACCACAGAGAGGGUUUGUGUGAAAUUUAGGGGUUUUUUUCUCCUUCUUCUUCUUCAUUUUUUCUUUUCUACCAGAGACAGAGAUCGAUUAGCUAAACAAAGUUCUGGUUUCGAAUAGUUUGGAACUCGCACAGAGAGAGGAGAGAAGAAGGAGAAGAAGGAGCUCGCCCCCUUGUGGAAUCUCCUCUGCAGAGCAGGUAUUGGGACAAAUUUUAGGGUUUUUCUAGACCCCCUAUACAGAGAGCUAUUAUGUCUGGAAGUAGUAUCCCUGCCGUUAAGUGAUCAGAAUUUGAGACCACUGUGUUCAUUGAAGCAAUGAAAGAAGCUGUAAAAAAUGGUCACAAAUCCGGUAAUUCAUUUAACAAAACUGGAUGGGAGAUCAUUACAAAGCAAUUUCAACAGGCUUUAAAUCGU